Molecule: long non-coding RNA, 659 nt
Filed under: Cucumis sativus (cucumber)
Lineage: Eukaryota; Viridiplantae; Streptophyta; Magnoliopsida; Cucurbitales; Cucurbitaceae
Description: long non-coding RNA (CSAT_LNC000424)
Source: RNAcentral
CCUCUUUGUUAUAUUUUUGAAAAAAACCUUAAUAAUAAAUUACUAUUACUAUUAUUAUAAUAUUAAAAAGGUCUCUUCGUGAAGUGUGUUGCACUUUCAACUAUUCAUCUUCUUCUUCCUCUCAAAACCCUAACACCGUUGCUGCCCGUGGUCUGCCACAACUGUUCGUCAUUGUUACCCAACUCCUUAACGUCCACCAUACGGACGAGUCACCAUUUGUCAAAGAACGCUAGCCAAAUGAAGAUCUUCAUCACAAAGCCUCUCCUUCGAUUCGGUUUAACGUUGUCGUCUCCUCUGCGCAGCGUCAUCAUCUCCGUCUAUCUCCCUCACGAGCCCUUCCCCUUACUGAGCCAACUCUAGUUAUCCGAGUCAAGAUCUCCUGUAACUGAGUCGUUUCGAGCCACGAGCCCCCCUCCUUCCUUCAUCUUGUUGAGCCAAGCCAUUAGUUAACCAAGUUGAGUCACUUUAGUAUUUUGUGAGGAUUUGAUUGGGUUUUAGCUAUGCCCAUCAAAUAAUAAUUUUUAGUCCUAAAUAAUUUAAUUUUUGGAUUAAAGUGAAUUAUUGUGUUUGAAAGUUGUUGGCUAAUAUUUGGAACAAAUUGUGGAAUUUUCCCAACUAAGCUCGUUCAUUUGGUCUCAACUUAGCUUUGGGGUAAGUUU